CAGCAGCCGCGGGAAUACGAAGGGGGCUAGCGUUGCUCGGAAUGACUGGGCGUAAAGGGCGCGUAGGCGGAGAGCUUUGUCGGACGUGAAAUUCCAGGGCUUAACCUUGGGGCUGCGUUCGAGACGGGUUUUCUUGAGUUCGGAAGAGGGUCGUGGAAUUCCCAGUGUAGAGGUGAAAUUCGUAGAUAUUGGGAAGAACACCGGUGGCGAAGGCGGCGACCUGGUCCGUGACUGACGCUGAGGCGCGAAAGCGUGGGGAGCAAACAGGAUUAGAUACCCCUGUAGUCCCUGUCUCUUAUAC
RNAcentral lists this ribosomal RNA (301 nucleotides) under uncultured bacterium. RNAcentral's name for it is "partial 16S ribosomal RNA". It matches the Rfam family "Bacterial small subunit ribosomal RNA", at positions 509 to 807 of the family's 1533-position model. The record is from RNAcentral.